GGGAAGUUUGCCAGCCUUCUGAACUCAACUUGUCCUUUCUGGGUGUGUUUUAUUUCUUAUCCAACCAGGUGGAAACGUGUUUGCUGCAGAGGCUGUGUGCGGUCAUUGUCCUUUCUGGGUUUAUUUCUGUUUUUGAGACAGGAAACAAAACAUCCAGAGGAAACAAUUGGUAGUCUGUCCCUAUUUGUACCUAUUGGCGGUGGGGGUUGGUUUUUGUUUUUGUUUUUUUGCUUUGUUUGUCUUGUAUUUCCAUUCUGUAACAGUAUCACCUAUAUUUUUUGAAAAGUCAAGAUGUAUCAUUUGACACAUGGCCUGAUAAAAUAUUUGAAAAAG
Molecule: long non-coding RNA, 333 nt
Organism: Bos taurus (domestic cattle)
Lineage: Eukaryota; Metazoa; Chordata; Mammalia; Artiodactyla; Bovidae
Source: Ensembl